This 1166-nucleotide long non-coding RNA is filed under the name Populus trichocarpa (black cottonwood). RNAcentral's name for it is "long non-coding RNA (PTRI_LNC003688)". Lineage: Eukaryota; Viridiplantae; Streptophyta; Magnoliopsida; Malpighiales; Salicaceae. The record is from RNAcentral.
CAUUCAUUAGCACAUAUCACACAUACAAAACCCAAAUAAAAUUUAGAGACUCUAAAUUAAAUGCCAGCCUAAUUAUUCAAGUCUAUCCAUUGGAAAAAAACGAAAUGGGCUCAGUGAAUGACUUUGCCCAAAACAAAAAUAAUAAAAAGAACAAGGGCCCAUGGUGUUGACCGAGAAAAACGUUAUAACUUAUAACCCAAGAGAGAUUUAAGGCCUGAUGAAAAACAAAAGCUAACAUGAAUUUUGUUCUUGAAAUUUUAAAGUAAUUAAAAAAUAAGAGCCCAGCCCAGAACUCACAAUAAGACUUCAAAACACCAGUCACAUACAUAGCUAGCGAACGUUGUACCUUCCAUGAAGAUCGAAGGAAAGCUAAGACUGCUGAAGGAAUAAUGUGCUACUGUAGUUCACGAUCUUGCUGGUCUGAGAGGAGUAACCUCUGCUGCUGCUGCUCAAAUGAAGCUGAUGGCGUGAAUGAGGAGAACAAACCUCUGCUGACGGUGGAAUUGCUGAGAGAGAUAUGACGGUCACAGCCUGAGGAGCACAACCUCUGCUAGCGAGACUGACGAGAGGUAGCUGGUCUUGGAAUUUCUGCUACUCAUGGUGAAGGAUUUCGUUGCUGCUCAGGAGGAGACUUCGCUGGUAUUGGACUGCUUGGGUUAGGGUUUUGUGAGAUUUUAAUGGGAGAGAUGAGGAGGUUCUAGGGCUCUUGGGUUGACGAGAACUCGACCCUUGAUAUUAAAAAAUAGGCACUUGAGGGUCUAGCUGCUGUGGUCAACCGUGUGACUUGUUCCGCCCCCGUCCCGGGUUCGACCCUCUAUGUGCACGCCUGUCACCCCCGCGGUGCCUUACCUGCUCCUGGGCUUGCAGGAUGUUCAGUGGGCCGUGGGGAAUAGUCGUGGUGCGCGUAAGCUGGCCCGGACACCCCACGUAAAUCAAAAAAAAAAAAAAAAAAAAAAUAGAUCCCAGCCAUUUAUUAAAGUUUAAGACAAAAGCUUGUCCUAAAACUGACAAGGGAGGACACAAGAUUAUUUUUGUUAAAAAAAACAGUUCUGGGUGGUGUUUUUAGGAAAGAAUUUGUAGUUGUUUUUAAUGCAAUAAAAACUGGAACUUUGGUUUAGAGUGAAUUAAAAAUACCAUAGUAUAAAUUGAUAUAAGAUUUGUAUGGU